UACGGAGGAUGCAAGCGUUAUCCGGAAUGAUUGGGCGUAAAGCGUCCGCAGGUGGCUGUGUAAGUCUGCUGUUAAAGAGUCAUGCUCAACAUGAUAAGAGCAGUGGAAACUACACGGCUAGAGUGCGUUCGGGGCAGAGGGAAUUCCUGGUGUAGCGGUGAAAUGCGCAGAUAUCAGGAGGAACACCGGUGGCGAAGGCGGGUCUCUGGGCCGUAACUGACGCUGAGGAGCGAAAGCAUGGGGAGCGAACAGG
This 253-nucleotide ribosomal RNA is filed under the name uncultured bacterium. Its description in RNAcentral is "partial 16S ribosomal RNA". It matches the Rfam family "Bacterial small subunit ribosomal RNA", at positions 524 to 776 of the family's 1533-position model. The record is from RNAcentral.